CAGUUCUACAAGAAUCAAGUCAUUAGCCACUGCAGUCGCUGACCUACAGUACACCCUGGAGGGAAUUCGGGGUGGAAGAUCAGGAUGGAUUUUUGUUUGUUUGUUUUAGGGUAACAAAGGAUUUUGUGCCCUGGAAAAAACUGGCAAAACCAGCCCUCAGAUACGUAGCUAUAUUAAGAAGAAAAUGUUAGAAGCUCAUUUCCCCCCAUCUUCCUAUUCUUAGAAAAGCUCUAAAACCACUGACUAAGCACACUACCUGUUCCUCGAGAUGAGAGGCUACCAACCUUCUGCCAAGAUGUGCACUUGACUGUGUCCACACCCGUGUCAAAAUCAUACUUACAUGGCCUCCCCCUCUUACCUCUUUGGAAUGGCCCUCAGAGCUUUCUGAAAGGCUAAGUGCUGAGUUACAGUCCUCAGGUUGGCUCCAAUAAAAUUCUCCAUUUCUUCCUUAAAUUGACCAUUGAUUUUUUUUUUUUUUAUGUCUUUUUUAGGGCCUCACCCACAGCAUAUGGACGUUCUCAGGCUAGGGGUCAAUUCAGAGCUGCGGCUGUUGGCCUACGCACGUUCAGCCCUAUAUUUACACAGAGCAAGACUGAUACUCAGGGACAUUCAGUAAAUUACCUGUGGUCCUCUCACUAGCAAGGCAGAGCCAGGCUGGGAACCACGGCUGCCUUUCCAUCAAGCUGCCCUGCCUCUCAGAGCUUCUUGCGAAGUAUGUUUCAUUACCACACACACCAGGCUCAUUGGGCUCACCUGCAGGGAGCUGGCUCCGCCAGUGUCCUGGGAUGGGUUUGCUGCCUGGUUUUACUGCACUCUGGUUUCCUGAGACUCGAGAAGCAGUGAGUACGCCUACCCACUUCCCUGAAAAAGGCAAGAUAUUCACUCCAGAGUGAUGGGUGGAACAGCAGGACCUGCAGGCACGGAAACCGGUACUUCAGAACACUGCUGCAGUCAGGUAGGGACUUGCAGGGAGAGACACCUGUACAACCAGAUCCACCAACUCAGAGCAGAGACAGAGCCCCAGCUAACCACUGGACUCCUUAGCCCUCCCCCUCCUUUGCGAUUUGGGCUUCAAGCGUGGCUCAUCCAGAAGUGCCACCAGCACCCUUCGGUCCUGCUUGUCAUUGCUGGGCUUUAUUCCUAAGUCUUCUCUUGCAACUUGACAACAAGAUGGCAACUCUAAGCCUACAUUGUCGUUAUCGCUUAUGAAGUUAGGGGAGAAGACAGAACAUCGUUGCUUAAUGACUCUGGCAAGAGCCCCAGGGAGCACUGGGACUGGCCAGGUUUGGUAGUGUCCCCUUUCCAGGGGUAUGGGGUCAGAAUUUGAUUGUAUGGCCUCCUUGGGGUAAGGGGCAGGGCUCAAACCCACUGGAAGCAUGGGGACUGAGAAGGAUUUCCAUAGGUGUGGCUUAUUGCCCAGAAGGUCUGCUGGGGUGACAUCCUCUUGACCUUCGGGGUGCCACCUCCUGGCAGCGUGGACACUGUCAAACAAUCUGUUCCAGCCAGACUGCUGCUGGCUUCCAAGAAUAGCACAACAUUCAAAUCAGCUUAAACAGUGAGGAAAUGUGUUUAGUAGGCCACCUAACUGAAAACCCGGCAGCAGGUCGGCCCCCAGCCUGAUGUAGUCACCUAUGUAGUCAUGCCAGUUGGGGAAAUGACGGUCUUUUCAGUAGGAGGUGCUGGACAAGCGGAUGUCCACAUGCAAAAAAGUGAAUGUAAACACUGACCUCAGGCCAUGAGCAAAAUGGACGAUAGACCCAAAUAUAAGAACUAAAACUACAGCUUCUAGUAGAAAAUGUACAAGAAAAUCUUCAUGAUCUUGAUUUUGGGCAAAGAUUUUUUUUUUUUUUUUGGUCUUUUUGCCUCUUCUAGGGCCGCUUCCUGCUGCAUAUGGAGGUUCCCAGGCUAGGGGUCGAAUCGGAGCUGCAGCCGCUGGCCUACGCCAGAGCCGCAGCAACGUGGAAUCCAAGCCACAUCUGGGACCUACACCACAGCUCACAGCAACACCGGAUCCUUAACCCACUGAGCAAGGCCAAGGAUCGAACCCACAACCCCAUGGUUCCUAGUCAGUCGUUAACCACUGUUCCACGACGGGAACUCCAGGGCAAAGAUUUUUUAGCUAUGACAUCAAAAGCACAUUUUUUUUUUUUAGGGCCACGCCCACAGCAUGUGGAGGUUCCCAGGCUAGGGGUCUAAUUCGAGCUACAGCUGCUGGCUUACACCACAGCCACAGUCAUGCCAGAUCCAAGCCACAUCUGUGACCUACGCUACAGCUCAUGGCAACGCCAGAUCCUUAACCUACUGAGCGAGGCCAGGGAUCGAACCCAAAACCUCAUAGUUUCUGGUAAGAAUUGUUUCCACUGCGCCACGAUGGGAAUUCCCCCAAAGGCACCAUGAAAAAAACAUGAAGGACAAGACACAGAACUGGAAGAGAAUAUUGGCACAUCAAAUAUCCAGUAAAGUGCUUGUAUCUAGAAUAUACAAAGAACUCCUAAAAACUCAAUAAAAAGAUAUCCCAAUAAAAUGAGCAAAAGGUUUGAACAGAUAACUUUACCCAAAAAUGAUCUGUGGAUGGCAAAUGUACACGUAAAAAGAUCUCAAAUCAUGAAUCAUCAGGGAAAGGCCAAUUAAGACCACAGUGGAUUCCAUCACGGACUCAGUAGAAUGGCAAUAAUCCAAGGACUGACAACACCAAGUGCUGGUGAUGGUACGGAGGGCUGGGACCCUCACAGUCGGCAAGUGGGGGUGUAAAACGGCACCACUGUCUUUGGAAACAGUUGGUAGUUUCUUUAAAAGUUAAACACAUACACUUACCGUAUGACCCAGGCAAUCCCACUCCUACGUAUCUAUCCAAGAAAAAUGAAAAUGUUCAGAGCCCUAGUAUUCAUAAUAAUCCCAAACUGGAAGCAGUCCAGAUGUCUCUCAGUUUGUAAAUAAACAUGCUAUAGUCAUACCUUGGCAGGUGAGGUAGUCUAGAACACUGGUUAAAUGAACCUGGACAGGAAGUUCCUGUUGUGGCUCAGUGGUAACGAGCCAGACUAGUAUCCAUAAGGUUGCAGGUUCGAUUCCUCUCCUCGAUCAGUGGGUUUAGGAUCUGGCCUUGCCAUGAACUGUGGUGUAGGACACAGAUGGGGCUCAGAACCUGCGUCGCUGUGGCUGUGCUGUAGGCCAGCAGCUGUAGAUCGGAUUCGACCCCCUAGCCAGGGAACUUCCAUGUGCUGCAGGUGUGG
RNAcentral lists this long non-coding RNA (3230 nucleotides) under Sus scrofa (pig). Its description in RNAcentral is "lncRNA (ENSSSCG00000052625.1)". The record is from RNAcentral. Lineage: Eukaryota; Metazoa; Chordata; Mammalia; Artiodactyla; Suidae.